GGGAGUGGUGGUUGGCUCGCAGCGGCGCCCGCGGCGCUUCACCGUCCGGUGGCUUGGACCCUCGAUCUGGCGAUUGCGACCGCUAGCAGUCACCUGCUCACGCGCAUCGUAGCUGGGAGCUGGGUCGGUUCGGCGGCCGUCGCGGUUCAGUCUAGCCGGCGCCUACCGCAUCUGCACCAAGAUGCUGAAGGUCACCAGGAGGACAAUGUCGAGCCCGGCCAGGCUGCUUGCUGCUUCCCACAACCUAGUGGCACAGCAAUCAACGGAGGAGCGCAAAGAGAGGUUCUGACGAUCUACCUGAGUUUUGGGCGUGGCUGAUGAAGAUGGUGGCCGGAAUUUUGAAUCUUGAAACUAGCUAAAUUUGUAACGGAUAGAAUAUAUAUGAGUUUAUUUGUAAUUUGUAAAAUCUUUUUUUUUGUUUCUUAAAUUCGUUACUGCUGGCGCAUAGCCUUCGUUGCCGGGGGUAACUGAUUUUAAUUUUUUUUAGUUCUUUAAAUAUGUA
Long non-coding RNA from Lolium rigidum, 502 nucleotides. RefSeq lists it as uncharacterized. The transcript has 2 exons. Lineage: Eukaryota; Viridiplantae; Streptophyta; Magnoliopsida; Poales; Poaceae. The record is from RefSeq and is a predicted model, not a curated record.